AUCGCAUGAGAUAGUCACCGAGUCAUCAAUUAUCCCUUUAUUUACUUUAGAUUCCAUUCUUUUCCUCCUCCAGGAUAGGAAUCAGUGAUGCUGUACAUGAGAAAAGAGUAAUUGCUAUCUCUAGGCUCUAGUCUCACCAUCAAGCUUUUAUCAACUGGCUUUUUCUGUUAUGACAGUUGACAUGUUUUACUGUAGACAUUUCACAUUUCAGGUGGAGAGCCAUGGAUAGGAAGUUUUUCGGUAAUCACUGCUGAAUAUAAUGUAAUUUUUUACCCGGAUGAUGCUUAUUAGUACAGGAUUUUGGUUCCAUUAUAUUCAGCAGUGAUUACCGAAAAACUUCCUAUCCAUGGCUCUCCACCUGAAAUGUGAAAUGUCUACAGUAAAACAUGUCAACUGUCAUAACAGAAAAAGCCAGUUGAUAAAAGCUUGAUGGUGAGACUAGAGCCUAGAGAUAGCAAUUACUCUUUUCUCAUGUACAGCAUCACUGAUUCCUAUCCUGGAGGAGGAAAAGAAUGGAAUCUAAAGUAAAUAAAGGGAUAAUUGAUGACUCGGUGACUAUCUCAUGCGAUUGUGUCACCUCAUGAACUACCUUAAAGGCCCAUCCAACAAACUAAACUGCAUUUUUCUUGUUUCUGAAGCUUUCCUUUAGCAACGCAAAUUUUUUCUUGCACUGAUUCACAGUCUUCCCAGGAACAGCAGCUGCAACUCGCUCCCAACGCUGACUGGUUUCCUUUGGGAAGGUUUUUAGGGCCUGAACUAGUGCUCUUUCUUGUACAGUAGACCAUGCAUCUUGGUCUGAGCUUGAAGACGACCCAUUCUCAGCAAACCCUUCAUCAGGAUUCUUGUUAUUUGCAGAUCUACUUGAAGAUUCCUCUGAAUCAUCCAACUUCAUAGCACUGCUUCCAGGCCCUUGUUUAAUUGCUGCUGAUCCUAUUUCCUCCCUAGUUGUAAGUGGAGAUGCAAUGGAUUGUGCAGGCUUCCUCUUCUCAAGAAAAGAAUCAAAAGCUUUAGCAGAGUCGGGCUUCUGGAGGAGGACAGUUUUUGUUGCCUUCAGAAU
This 1057-nucleotide unclassified non-coding RNA is filed under the name Hevea brasiliensis (rubber tree). Lineage: Eukaryota; Viridiplantae; Streptophyta; Magnoliopsida; Malpighiales; Euphorbiaceae. The record is from RNAcentral.